GACAACCUGGUUGAUCCUGCCAGUAGUCAUAUGCUUGUCUCAAAGAUUAAGCCAUGCAUGUCUCAGUACAAGCCAAAUUAAGGUGAAACCGCGAAAGGCUCAUUAAAUCAGUUAUGGUUCCUUAGAUCGUACCAACAUUUACUUGGAUAACUGUGGUAAUUCUAGAGCUAAUACAUGCAAACAGAGCUUCGACCGGAGACGGAAGAGGCGCUUUUAUUAGAUCAAAACCAAUCGGCGGCGGGUUCGCUCGCGGGCUCGUCGUCGUUUUCACUGACGAAUCUGAAUAACUUUCUGCUGAUCGCACGGUCUCGCACCGGCGACGCAUCUUUCAAAUGUCUGCCUUAUCAACUGUCGAUGGUAGGUUCUGUGCCUACCAUGGUUGUAACGGGUAACGGGGAAUCAGGGUUCGAUUCCGGAGAGGGAGCCUGAGAAACGGCUACCACAUCCAAGGAAGGCAGCAGGCGCGCAAAUUACCCACUCCCGGCACGGGGAGGUAGUGACGAAAAAUAACGAUACGGGACUCAUCCGAGGCCCCGUAAUCGGAAUGAGAACAAUUUAAAUCCUUUAACGAGGAUCAAUUGGAGGGCAAGUCUGGUGCCAGCAGCCGCGGUAAUUCCAGCUCCAAUAGCGUAUAUUAAAGUUGUUGCGGUUAAAAAGCUCGUAGUCGAAUCUGUGUCCCGCGCCGCCGGUUCGUCGCUCGCGGCGUUUAACUGGCGUGUCCGCGGGACGUCCUGCCGGUGGGCUUAGCCUUUUCAUUAAGGCGGCCCAAUCUUAAUCCCGCCGCGGUGCUCUUCACCGAGUGUCGAGGCGGGCCGGCACGUUUACUUUGAACAAAUUAGAGUGCUUAAAGCAGGCUAAAACUUCGCCUGAAUACUUCGUGCAUGGAAUAAUGGAAUAGGACCUCGGUUCUAUUUUGUUGGUUUUCGGAACCCCGAGGUAAUGAUUAAUAGGAACGGAUGGGGGCAUUCGUAUUGCGACGUUAGAGGUGAAAUUCUUGGAUCGUCGCAAGACGGACAGAAGCGAAAGCAUUUGCCAAAAACGUUUUCAUUGAUCAAGAACGAAAGUUAGAGGUUCGAAGGCGAUCAGAUACCGCCCUAGUUCUAACCAUAAACGAUGCCAGCUAGCGAUCCGCCGACGUUCCUCCGAUGACUCGGCGGGCAGCUUCCGGGAAACCAAAGCUUUUGGGUUCCGGGGGAAGUAUGGUUGCAAAGCUGAAACUUAAAGGAAUUGACGGAAGGGCACCACCAGGAGUGGAGCCUGCGGCUUAAUUUGACUCAACACGGGAAACCUCACCAGGCCCGGACACCGGAAGGAUUGACAGAUUGAGAGCUCUUUCUUGAUUCGGUGGGUGGUGGUGCAUGGCCGUUCUUAGUUGGUGGAGCGAUUUGUCUGGUUAAUUCCGAUAACGAACGAGACUC
This 1418-nucleotide ribosomal RNA is filed under the name Microtrichalus sp. A00210. RNAcentral describes it as "SSU rRNA". It matches the Rfam family "Eukaryotic small subunit ribosomal RNA", at positions 1 to 1343 of the family's 1831-position model. Lineage: Eukaryota; Metazoa; Arthropoda; Insecta; Coleoptera; Lycidae. The record is from RNAcentral.